UAAGACGUAGGGUGCAAGCGUUGUCCGGAUUUACUGGGCGUAAAGAGCGCGUAGGCGGCUCGUUAAGUGAGAAGUGAAAGCUCUGGGCUCAACCCCAGAAACCGCUUUUCAUACUGGCGAGCUGGAGUGAUGCAGAGGUGGAUAGAAUUCCCGGUGUAGCGGUGAAAUGCGUUGACAUCGGGAGGAAUACCCAUGGCGAAGGCAGUCCACUGGGCAUCAACUGACGCUGAGGCGCGAAAGCGUGGGUAGCAAACAGGAUUAGAUACCCUGGUAGUCCACGCCCUAAACGAUGGAUGCUAGGCGUAGGAGGUAUCGACCCCUCCUGUGCCGCAGCUAACGCACUAAGCAUCCCGCCUGGGGACUACGGCCGCAAGGUUGAAACUCAAAUGAAUUGACGGGGACCCGCACAAGCGGUGGAGCAUGUGGAUUAAUUCGAUACUAACCGAAGAACCUUACCCAGGUUUGACAUCGGGGGAAAGCCUAUGAAAGUAGGCCCUCGCCCACAAGGC
This 509-nucleotide ribosomal RNA is filed under the name uncultured Armatimonadota bacterium. RNAcentral describes it as "bacterial SSU rRNA". It matches the Rfam family "Bacterial small subunit ribosomal RNA", at positions 521 to 1025 of the family's 1533-position model. The record is from RNAcentral. Lineage: Bacteria; Bacillati; Armatimonadota.